This 1877-nucleotide long non-coding RNA is filed under the name Carica papaya (papaya). RNAcentral describes it as "long non-coding RNA (CPAP_LNC004052)". The record is from RNAcentral. Lineage: Eukaryota; Viridiplantae; Streptophyta; Magnoliopsida; Brassicales; Caricaceae.
UCCAGCCCAGCCCAAGGAAUUAUCUGGAACAUGUUCUUCCCAACACUCUAGAACCUUCUCUUUUCUUCUCUAGUUCGAGGAGGAAAUAUUUAUUCAAUUAUUUCGAUAAAUUCCGGAUUUUCCCUACUAGUUUCUAGCACUUUCGACGCAUUUCCUAUAAUUUUCACUUCUCCUGACUGCUAAUUUCACCCUAGUUUGCUGCAAUUGUUGCCUGGUUGUCGAACAACAUCCGUGAAAAGAGAAGCAAAUGGCGGAAGAAUUAUCGCUGGAUUUGGAGGAGCUCAGGGAACUUCGAAGCAUAGCAAAGAGACCUCGAGUCCUUAGUCUGAUUUCCACUGAGAUUCGUACCUUGGAGAAGGUCUUCUUUCUUUUACUUUUUUUUUAACUCUUUUCCCUUUUGCUUAUUUCGUUUCAUCUUUUUUUGUAUGUUUCGCUGCCAAUGACUUUUUCUAGUUCUUAAACAAGAAAAAAAAAAAAAAACCUUCGUAUAUACGUCUCUUGGUGUAUAUACAGAUUUUCUUUUAUGCGCAUUUUGUAUUUUGAUUAUGAGCGUAUCAGGUGUUGUUGACGGGUUUUCUUUGUUUGGUUUACUUUUUAUCAUUUCUCUAAUUGAUUUAUUUCUUGUGUCUGGAUAGUUCUUAGUUCUCUCGGCUAUCAGUUGUGUCAUUGUUUCUGGAAGUUGAAUAAGUUAGCGAAAGGUUUUUAUAUGAAAAAUAAUAUUAAAGGUUUGUGAAGAGAAAAGGAAUAGACCAAGUUGUAGAGACAUGAUUAGGAAUUUCUUAGAAAGAAAUGAAGAAAAUGUAAAGUUGUGUGCUGUUGCGAUUAAAGUUCACUGGAUUAAUCAUUUCAUGGUUAGAAGAACGAUAGAGGUAUAUGUCUACGAUGUAUGUUUAUAACCUAAUUUGCUUCUUUAUCGAUAAAAGUAAAAACUUUUUUGCAGGAAUACGACAUCUGUUAAUCAUAAUAAAAUGUGUGCUUUAGAUGUGGAGCCUGCUUGUACGAGUAAAUAAAACAAUUUGCUGUGUAGUAGGAAAUUUCAGUUGCUUAUAGUAAUUCACUUUGAUAAGUUGAUCAUUGUAUGAGGAGUCUAGUUGACAUGAUACUGUUGAAAUGUGAUGCCUGAGCUUGAGAUGACGUCAAACGAGCGUAUCGGUCCAUUCCGUAUUCCCGUUCUCUUAUAAAGAAUGGGUCUCUUCCCCUGCCCUCGUUGUCUCUAUCGAUCUCACAAGUCUCUCUGGUAUAGGCAAGGGCUUAUCUGUGAAUGAACCCAUUCCUCUCCCCCACAACUCCCUCCUUCUUCUUUAUGUCGGUCUUUGUUUUGUAGCUGAGGUUGAAAGGUGGGAAAGUCCCCGUCUUGACUGACAAACUGCCAAAAUGCCCUUGUUUGGGUCAGCUCUUUGGGGGUCAAGUCUUUUGACAAGUUUUCCUGAGGCUCCUUUUCUUAGUAAAGGCUUUUCUUUGUGGUCCGUGAGGGGUCUAGCCUCGUGAGCCUUUCCAAACGUCCACUAUGGAUACUGUCUCCAACUUAUAUGUUAGUAUAUCCUCUCUAGUUUUCUUUUGUUUACAUAAUUAAAGUAACCAUCUUGCUGGAAAACCCUGUCAGACCACUGACUCAUGAGGUGGCCAGAAUAGACCCAGAUACUGAGGUUGUCAGAGAUGUAGAAGCAGAGAGGAAUAAUCAGAGAGAAAAGACGAGAGGAAAUAGAGGAAUGUCCUUGCUUGGGUCAGCUCUUUGGGGGUCAAGUCUUUUGACAAGUUUUCCUGAGGCUCCCUUUCUUAGUAAAGGCUUUUCUUUGUGGUCCGUGAGGGGUCUAGCCUCGUGAGCCUUUCCAAACGUCCACCAUGGAUACUGUCUCCAACUUAUAUGUUAGUAUNNN